AGAGUUUGAUCCUGGCUCAGGAUGAACGCUGGCGGCGUAGAUAAGGCAUGCAAGUCAAGCGGAUUAUUUUUUGAACGAGGCUGAGAUUACAUCAAGGCCGAGGGACGAAGAUGAUUAGCGGCGAACGAGUCAGUAAUACCUUGGUACGUACUCCGAAGACGGGCAUAACCAGCCGAAAGGUUGGCUAAUUCCCGAUAGUCCCGCAAGGGUAAAGGCGCAAGCCACUUUGGAAGCGGCCUAGGUCCGAUCAGCUUGUUGGUGAGGUAAUGGCUCACCAAGGCGACGACCGGUAGGGGGCCUGAGAGGGUGAUCCCCGACGACGAAACUGAGACACGGUUCGUACACCUACGGGUGGCAGCAGUCGAGAAUAUUCGACAAUGGAGGAAACUCUGAUCGAGUGACGCCGCGUGAAGGAAGAAGGGCUUCGGCCUGUAAACUUCUUUUCCUUGGGAAGAACUCUGACGGUACCAGGGGAAUAAGGGACUGCUAAAUUUGUGCCAGCAGCAGCGGUAAGACAAAUGUCCCGAGCGUUAUCCGGAAUAACUGGGCGUAAAGAGCGAGUAGGAGGAUUCGUUAGUCCUGCGUGAAAUCCAAGAGCUCAACUCUUGGGCGGGCGCGAGAAACGGCGAAUCUUGAGUCUGUCAGGGGCAAGCGGAACGUGCGGUGUAGGGGUGAAAUCCGUUGAUAUCGCACGGAACACCAAAAGCGAAGGCAGCUUGCUGGGACAGUACUGACUCUCAAUCGCGAAAGCGUGGGCAUAAAAAAGGAUUGGCAUGGGUAUCCAACUUUAUGAUAAAAUAAAGUUGGCAAACUAGUCCCUUCUAUUAGAAACAAUAGAAUGAAAACUUGGCUAUAUCGGUAGAGACCCGUUUUUAAGACGGAAAAUACCGAGGGAAGUUUUGGAGACUUAUAUCUAUAUUUAUAUAUGGUGAAUAUUAGACAUAAAGAGAAAAAAUUAAUUUUUUCUCUUUCAGAUCGUCAAAGAAAUAUUCUAAUAGGUUCUUUACUUGGAGAUGCGAAUAUACACAAGAAAGGUAGAGAAUCUAGAGUGUUCUUUAAACAUUCUAUAAAUCAAUUGCCACUACUUGAAUGGAAACGGCAGGAGUUUGAUGAAAUAACGGGCAUGGCGAUUGAUAGAUUUAAGCAGAAUGUUAAAGAUAAACAAUAUGAAUUUGUUCAAUUUGUGACACUAACUCAUUCAUCAUUUACUCAACUACAUAGAAUAUUCUACAAGAAAAAAAAGAAAGUCGUACCAAAAAAUAUCCAUCAACUGCUAAAAGAUCCAAUAUCUUUAGCAGUAUGGAUUAUGGAUGAUGGAGCAAAAGACAAUCUGGGUUUAACUAUUCAAACACAUAGUUUUAGAACCAAGGAGGUAGAGAGAUUAAUAUUAAUGUUAAAAAAGAAUUUUAACUUGAUUACUACUCCAAGGAAAAAUAGAGGCAAAGUUAUUAUUUAUUUUCCUAAAUCACAAAUAAGUGAUUUAUG
RNAcentral lists this ribosomal RNA (1485 nucleotides) under Parcubacteria group bacterium RIFCSPLOWO2_02_FULL_40_12. Its description in RNAcentral is "bacterial SSU rRNA". The stretch from base 2 to 822 matches the Rfam family "Bacterial small subunit ribosomal RNA", at positions 9 to 873 of the family's 1533-position model. The record is from RNAcentral.